GACGAACGCUGGCGGCGUGCUUAACACAUGCCAGUCGAACGGAAAGGCCCUGCUUUUGUGGGGUGCUCGAGUGGCGAACGGGUGAGUAACACGUGAGUAACCUGCCCUUGACUUUGGGAUAACUUCAGGAAACUGGGGCUAAUACCGGAUAGGAGCUCCUGCUGCAUGGUGGGGGUUGGAAAGUUUCGGCGGUUGGGGAUGGACUCGCGGCUUAUCAGCUUGUUGGUGGGGUAGUGGCUUACCAAGGCUUUGACGGGUAGCCGGCCUGGGAGGGUGACCGGCCACAUUGGGACUGAGAUACGGCCCAGACUCCUACGGGGGGCAGCAGUGGGGAAUAUUGCACAAUGGGCGGAAGCCUUAUGCAGCAACGCCGCGUGCGGGAUGACGGCCUUCGGGUUGUAAACCGCUUUCGCCUGUGACGAAGCGUGAGUGACGGUAAUGGGUAAAGAAGCACCGGCUAACUACGUG
This 468-nucleotide ribosomal RNA is filed under the name uncultured bacterium. Its description in RNAcentral is "partial 16S ribosomal RNA". It matches the Rfam family "Bacterial small subunit ribosomal RNA", at positions 28 to 507 of the family's 1533-position model. The record is from RNAcentral.